UACGGCCACUUCACAUUGAAACACCAGUUUCUGUAAAAUCACUAAAGUUAAGCAAUGUUUAGUCUGGUCAGUACCUAGAUGGGUGACUGCCUGUGAAUACCAGGUGCUGUCAG
Molecule: non-coding RNA, 113 nt
Organism: Acanthosepion pharaonis
Lineage: Eukaryota; Metazoa; Mollusca; Cephalopoda; Sepiida; Sepiidae
Source: the annotation of a GenBank genome assembly